Long non-coding RNA from Theobroma cacao (cacao), 701 nucleotides. RefSeq lists it as uncharacterized. The record is from RefSeq and is a predicted model, not a curated record. NCBI's taxonomy places the organism in Eukaryota, Viridiplantae, Streptophyta, Magnoliopsida, Malvales, Malvaceae.
CCCAUUUCCCCCUCCUGCUUUUUCUCUUCUAUCUACCUUUCCUCGAGCCUCCCGACCCACCCUCUUUACCCCUUUCACUGCCGAUUGAAGUUUGGUUAGACGUCACCCAUUGCCGAAUCAACCCCUUCGUCGCCAAACCCACCCUCCCCGCCACCGAUUCCAUCGAUUUGAACCCAGAUCCAUCACAGAUUUGUAAUCUAGCUGCCAAGUGUGUUGACUGCCGCUGGCCCAAAUGAGGUUUUCACUAAUCCAUCGACUACCCCAUCAAGAAUUUUGCCGAUAAACUAUCGACGAAAUAGUUUCAUCAUCAACCACUCUUCCCAGUGAUAGAUUGGUUAAUUUAUUGACAGAAUGCUCGACAGAAUAUUUUGUUCGAAAAUAUUGCAGCAGAUUGUUCCGCCACCCACGAAAUGAACAUUAUUGACAAGGGUAUUUCCGCCCAUGAGCCAACAGAAUUUUUUGUCGGUACUUUCGUCAGUGUAUUAGAACACUGAUGAAUUCUAACGCUUUACUGAUAGAAUAUUCUAUCAGUAAAUCUCUUUUUUUUUUUAUAAUGGUACUCCAAUCUCUUGGAGUUCCAACGAAACAUAAGACAGUAGUCAAGUCUUCUUAGAAAUUGAAUAUCGAGCUAUUGCAAUUGUCAUUGCAGAAGCAACAUGGAUUCAAUCUUUCCUUCAAGAAUUUCAGAUAGUUUUGCCUAA